RNAcentral lists this ribosomal RNA (253 nucleotides) under uncultured bacterium. RNAcentral describes it as "partial 16S ribosomal RNA". It matches the Rfam family "Bacterial small subunit ribosomal RNA", at positions 524 to 776 of the family's 1533-position model. The record is from RNAcentral. RNAcentral also lists the same sequence under 1 other name.
UACGAAGGGGGCUAGCGUUGUUCGGAAUUACUGGGCGUAAAGCGCGCGCAGGCGGUUCUUCAAGUCAGAGGUGAAAGCCCAGGGCUCAACCCUGGAAUGGCCUUUGAGACUAGAGAACUUGGGUACGGGAGAGGUGAGUGGAAUUCCGAGUGUAGAGGUGAAAUUCGUAGAUAUUCGGAAGAACACCAGUGGCGAAGGCGGCUCACUGGCCCGUUACCGACGCUCAGGCGCGACAGCGUGGGGAGCAAACAGG